Molecule: transfer RNA, 78 nt
Filed under: Bacteroidetes bacterium ADurb.Bin174
Lineage: Bacteria; Pseudomonadati; Bacteroidota
Description: tRNA-Leu
Rfam family: tRNA
About the family: Transfer RNA (tRNA) molecules are approximately 80 nucleotides in length. Their secondary structure includes four short double-helical elements and three loops (D, anti-codon, and T loops). Further hydrogen bonds mediate the characteristic L-shaped molecular structure. tRNAs have two regions of fundamental functional importance: the anti-codon, which is responsible for specific mRNA codon recognition, and the 3' end, to which the tRNAs corresponding amino acid is attached (by aminoacyl-tRNA synthetases). tRNAs cope with the degeneracy of the genetic code in two manners: having more than one tRNA (with a specific anti-codon) for a particular amino acid; and 'wobble' base-pairing, i.e. permitting non-standard base-pairing at the 3rd anti-codon position.
Source: RNAcentral
GGGCGAUUGAUGGGAAUUGGUAUACCUUUCUGACUUAGAAUCAGAAGUUUACUGGUUCGACUCCAGUAUCGCCCACCA